UCUACUAAGCCUGAGCUGAGCGAACAAUCAAACCUGCAAAGCUAUGGCUUUUCCUUCUGCACUCUCCUCUUCUUCUUCUUCCCUUUCUUUAUCUGCUUCAGCUACCACCAAACAUGGCAUUUUCUCACCAUCCUCCCGUUCUGCAUUUCGCUUCUUCUACCCACCGCCCACUCUCAAGGCUUGUGCCCAGUUCCGUAUCUACUGCCGCAACCCUCUUCCUUCAAAACCCACUUCUAAGGUCAGCCUUCCUUCUUCACUACUUUGUUUCCUUAGUCUCUAUUGCAUUUUCGUGUUAUAUAUUUUGGUCAAUGUUACAAAGAUUGGAAAACAUUAUAAUCUUGCAGCAGUUGUGCAGGAUAAGGACAAGGAUGAGGACAAAAGGCUUGAUUUCUCAGCUUCUGAACAUAGAAGCAAGAAUGUAGUAGAAGGGGCCGUAGCUGCUUUUCUUAUGUUUGUUCAGAUAUCUUCACCUUUACCUUUGUUUGGGUGGGAGC
This 494-nucleotide long non-coding RNA is filed under the name Linum usitatissimum (flax). Its description in RNAcentral is "long non-coding RNA (LUSI_LNC001908)". Lineage: Eukaryota; Viridiplantae; Streptophyta; Magnoliopsida; Malpighiales; Linaceae. The record is from RNAcentral.